This 301-nucleotide ribosomal RNA is filed under the name uncultured bacterium. RNAcentral's name for it is "partial 16S ribosomal RNA". It matches the Rfam family "Bacterial small subunit ribosomal RNA", at positions 509 to 807 of the family's 1533-position model. The record is from RNAcentral.
CAGCCGCCACGGUAAUACGUAGGUGGCAAGCGUUGUCCGGAAUUAUUGGGCGUAAAGGGCCCGCAGGCGGUUUCUUAAGUCUGAUGUGAAAGCCCCCGGCUCAACCGGGGAGGGUCAUUGGAAACUGGGAAACUUGAGUGCAGAAGAGGAGAGUGGAAUUCCACGUGUAGCGGUGAAAUGCGUAGAGAUGUGGAGGAACACCAGUGGCGAAGGCGACUCUCUGGUCUGUAACUGACGCUGAGGAGCGAAAGCGUGGGGAGCGAACAGGAUUAGAUACCCCCGUAGUCCCUGUCUCUUAUAC